GCAAAAUUCCAGGAAAAAUGCCAAGGCAGUGGAGGCAGUGGGACAACGAACAGGUAUCAUGUGGCAAUACCGAAUGGAGCAUCUCCAGAGAACAUUUCUCAAUAGCACCGUUGUUCUUGGCUGGUGUUUGACAUUUUGACUAAAGGACCUAGUUACAUUGUGAAAAGAGGAAGAUACCCUUUAGGUCCUGCAAGAUGAACAUCCUGGAC
Long non-coding RNA from Symphalangus syndactylus (siamang), 209 nucleotides. RefSeq lists it as uncharacterized. NCBI's taxonomy places the organism in Eukaryota, Metazoa, Chordata, Mammalia, Primates, Hylobatidae. The record is from RefSeq and is a predicted model, not a curated record.